This 214-nucleotide long non-coding RNA is filed under the name Carica papaya (papaya). RNAcentral describes it as "long non-coding RNA (CPAP_LNC002849)". Lineage: Eukaryota; Viridiplantae; Streptophyta; Magnoliopsida; Brassicales; Caricaceae. The record is from RNAcentral.
AAACAAGUUUUUUUCCAUUCUUCUUAAUCUUUAGGCACAAAUAUAAAAUCUAGAUGUUCAAUGUUAAUAUUUUCUAUAGUCUAAAUCUCAGGGCAUAAGGUUUAAAUGAGGAAGCUUUGGAGAAGAUCUGCACCAGCAAAAUCUUAUGGGUCCCAAGACCAUGUUGCACUCGUUUCCACUCAGUAAGGCUUCCUUGUGCCAUCCAUACCAACAU